Molecule: ribosomal RNA, 589 nt
Filed under: uncultured ciliate
Lineage: Eukaryota; Ciliophora
Description: SSU rRNA
Rfam family: Eukaryotic small subunit ribosomal RNA
Source: RNAcentral
UACCAUGGCUUUAACGGGUAACGGAGGAUUAGGGUUCGAUUCCGGAGAGGGAGCCUGAGAAACGGCUACCACAUCUAAGGAAGGCAGCAGGCGCGUAAAUUACCCAAUCGCGACUCGCGGAGGUAGUGACAAGAAAUAACGGACCGAAGCCUAUGUUUCGGGAUUGCAAUGAGCAGAAUUUAAACCCCUUUACGAGGAUCAAUUGGAGGGCAAGUCUGGUGCCAGCAGCCGCGGUAAUUCCAGCUCCAAUAGCGUAUAUUAAAGUUGUUGCAGUUAAAAAGCUCGUAGUUGGACUUCUGGGAGGGUGCCAAUGUCCGCUCGUUAGCGUGUGCAGCGGCGCCCUUCCAUCCUUCUGUUAACGUUUCUUGGUAUUCAGUUACUGGUUUCGGGCUCAGAUAUUUUACCUUGAGAAAAUUAGAGUGUUUCAGGCAGGCUUGCGCCGGAAUACAUUAGCAUGGAAUAAUAGAAUAGGACUUUAGUCUCCUUUGUUGGUUUGAGGGACUGAAGUAAUGAUUAAUAGGGAUAGUUGGGGGCAUUAGCAUUUAAUUGUCAGAGGUGAAAUUCUCGGAUUUGUUAAAGACUAACUUAU